CCAGCUCCAAUAGCGUAUAUUAAACUUGUUGCAGUUAAAAAGCUCGUAGUUGAACUUCUGCCGCCAGGACUUUCGUUCCCUUUGGGGUUUCGCUAUCCUGGUGGCAUUCCUCCGGUUAAUUUGAGCUUCGGCUCCUCUUUUUCCGGCUUUACUUUGAGAAAAUUAGAGUGUUUCAAGCAGGCUUUUGCCUUGAAUACUUCAGCAUGGAAUAAUAAAGUAGGACUUUGGUUCUAUUUUGUUGGUUUCAGAGCCAAAGUAAUGGUUAAUAGGAACAGUUGGGGGCAUUCGUAUUUAACUGUCAGAGGUGAAAUUCUU
This 315-nucleotide ribosomal RNA is filed under the name Babesia sp. MML-2014. RNAcentral describes it as "SSU rRNA". It matches the Rfam family "Eukaryotic small subunit ribosomal RNA", at positions 585 to 921 of the family's 1831-position model. Lineage: Eukaryota; Apicomplexa; Aconoidasida; Piroplasmida; Babesiidae. The record is from RNAcentral.